RNAcentral lists this ribosomal RNA (253 nucleotides) under uncultured bacterium. Its description in RNAcentral is "partial 16S ribosomal RNA". It matches the Rfam family "Bacterial small subunit ribosomal RNA", at positions 524 to 776 of the family's 1533-position model. The record is from RNAcentral.
UACGAAGGGGGCUAGCGUUGUCCGGAAUCAUUGGGCGUAAAGCGCGCGUAGGCGGUCCGGUAAGUCCGCUGUGAAAGUCGGGGGCUCAACCCUCGGAUGCCGGUGGAUACUGUCGGGCUUGAGUGCGGAAGAGGCGAGUGGAAUUCCUGGUGUAGCGGUGAAAUGCGCAGAUAUCAGGAGGAACACCAAUUGCGAAGGCAGCUCGCUGGGACGUAACUGACGCUGAUGCGCGAAAGCGUGGGGAGCGAACAGG